Molecule: long non-coding RNA, 3451 nt
Organism: Drosophila eugracilis
Lineage: Eukaryota; Metazoa; Arthropoda; Insecta; Diptera; Drosophilidae
Exons: 3
Source: RefSeq, a predicted model, not a curated record
AAAAAUGGUGGUUUAAUGGCGUUUACCGGAAAAUGGAAUUAAAAUUAAUUUCAUGGCCGAAAUCUGAAUAGCCAAGAGGCUGCAAUAUUUACUGACGGGUACUUCAAUUCAAAUACAAGACCUUAGCUUUGCUGGAUACAGAAUAGAGAAGACUUCACUGAAAAUAAAAUGCAGUAUGUAUAUUUUUUAUAUCGGCGUUUCGUAGCUUACUUUUUUUCUUUACUUCCAGUGUUUAAGCAAAUUACGGUUUAAUGGCGGCAAAUAAAAAUGGAAAACCUAAAAAUAAAGUCAAUUUUCUUAUAAUGAAUACCACGGAAAAGGCUGCGAUUAUACAGACGGUCAUAUCUAUACUUAUAAAAGAGAUGAACUAUGCAUUGUGCUGUGGAAAGAAAAAUCUUUGCCCUACGCUAACCGGAUUUGAAUUGCUAUUUGAAAAAGGUCCCCCAUCGAUUGACAUGCUAUGUGCGAAAUAUAUAUGGCUUAUACAUGGUGUUGAUGGAAACAAAUACGUUACUUAAAGAGGGAGCUACAACAGCAUGCGUGUGGAAACCGAUGUUUGCUUAUAAGGAAGGCGCUUCACAGCACACAACGCUUCUAAAGAAAGACGAAUUUUCAUCAUGGCAUUGUAACAGUGCUGUUGAAAAGAAGGCACUUAAAAAGGAAAGAGCUUUGUCCUAUCAUGUGGUGGAUCACAAGGAAAAUAUUCUACAUAUUGAAAGAAACUUAUCAUAAUGCUAGGGUGUGUAAAUGUUAGCUUGUGUAAAAAACCAAUAAUGGUAACUCCAUGAAUGUAUGAAAAUUUAACAAAUGUUACCAUAAGUUAGUAGUAUUGUAAGCUGUCGUGUGCAAUGUAUAAUUAAUGUUUCAAAGAUGUUAUUAGUUUAAGCAUAUGUUAAGCCACGAUUAUUGUAACACAAUGAGCUUGUACACAUAGUUAAGCUAGACAUAAGUAAUGUUCAGCCAAUUGCCAGACAAUGUUAAGAUAAUCAAUGAGGUAGAAAGGAAGAAAACGACUCAAAGAAGGAAAAGGAGCCCAAGAAGACUGCCAAGGAGUCCAAGAAAGAAACCCCCAAAGCCGCAGAGCAAAACAAAAACAAUGAUCAGUCCACGAUUGAUCUCUUUACAGCCAAGAAAGCGGACACCAGCAAGAAAGAGAAGCCAGAAGUUAAGACUGCGGAGAAAGGCAAGAAGAAAGAUCAAACCACAGACGAUCCCAAGCCAAAAGAAGCUCCCAAAAAGGAUACACCAAAAACCUUAGGGAAGCCAAAGAAGGAGGAAUCAGUAGAAAAGAGCAACAAAGAAGAAAAGUCCCAGAAAGAAAAAGAAGAAGACUCACCUGCCGCCAGUAAUCAAAAAUAAACAAGCAGGAAGAGUAAAGGCAAAAAACAGAAGGAGGAGGUCAACCAGAAGAAAGAAAACGACUCAAGGAAGGAAAAGGACCCCAAGAAGACUACCAAGAAGUACAAGAAAGAACCCCCUAAAUAUUGUUUAUUAAUACGCUUUUUUACAGGUUCAACAUUCGACGCAAGCGUUACAUAGGAAUUGGCGAUAACACAACAGACAAUCGGAUACAUGAGGUUGGCUAUAACAGAGGCUCUUUCCAGUAUACGGCCCUCUGUAGAGAAACUGACUCACAUUAUUGGCGUUGUUUAACAGAUAACAUGAAGAAGAGGACACUAACGGAUCGCUAACCAACACAUCAUAUGCUCCUAUAUAUUGGACUCCUUCAAGCGGACGACGAUUGAUGGUAUCAAUGUUGUUUGAUAGACGGCGCUGUAAAACUAAAGGCGCAUUACACGUCCGUCUCUAGGUUACAUACAUGAACAAAUAAGACAUACCAAAGACAAUUUGGAUUAUAUUAAGGAUAACGCAAAUGUUAUACCACACUAGUGAUGGUAGAACAAUAAUAAGAAAUGUUAAUACUUAAGAAUGUUAACCUAAGCAAAAAUUGUAAACAAAGCAAAGAUUGCACUAUAUAGAUACUGCACUCAGAGCUGUAAGAAUAUGUUAAAAGUAUCUUAAGUAGUCGUAAACAAUGUAUACACAAUGUUCCGAACGAUGUUAUUAGUUUAAGCAACUGUUAAGCCGUAUAUAAUGUAACACAAUGAGCUUGUACACAUAGUUAAGCUAGACAUAAGUAACGUUCAGCCAAUUGCCAGACAAUGUUAAGAUAAUCAAUGAGGUAGAAAGGAAGAAAACGACUCAAAGAAGGAAAAGGAGCCCAAGAAGACUGCCAAGGAGUCCAAGAAAGAAACCCCCAAAGCCGCAGAGCAAAACAAAAACAAUGAUCAGUCCACGAUUGAUCUCUUUACAGCCAAGAAAGCGGACACCAGCAAGAAAGAGAAGCCAGAAGUUAAGACUGCGGAGAAAGGCAAGAAGAAAGAUCAAACCACAGACGAUUCCAAGCCAAAAGAAGCUCCCAAAAAGGAUACACCAAAAACCUUAGGGAAGCCAAAGAAGGAGGAAUCAGUAGAAAAGAGCAACAAAGAAGAAAAGUCCCAGAAAGAAAAAGAAGAAGACUCACCUGCCGCCAGUAAUCAAAAAUAAACAAGCAGGAAGAGUAAAGGCAAAAAACAGAAGGAGGAGGUCAACCAGAAGGAAGAAAACGACCCAAGGAAGGAAAAGGACCCCAAGAAGACUACCAAGAAGUACAAGAAAGAACCCCCUAAAUAUUGUUUAUUAAUACGCUUUUUUACAGGUUCAACAUUCGACGCAAGCGUUACAUAGGAAUUGGCGAUAACACAACAGACAAUCGGAUACAUGAGGUUGGCUAUAACAGAGGCUCUUUCCAGUAUACGGCCCUCUGUAGAGAAACUGACUCACAUUAUUGGCGUUGUUUAACAGAUAACAUGAAGAAGAGGACACUAACGGAUCGCUAACCAACACAUCAUAUGCUCCUAUAUAUUGGACUCCUUCAAGCGGACGACGAUUGAUGGUAUCAAUGUUGUUUGAUAGACGGCGCUGUAAAACUAAAGGCGCAUUACACGUCCGUCUCUAGGUUACAUACAUGAACAAAUAAGACAUACCAAAGACAAUUUGGAUUAUAUUAAGGAUAACGCAAAUGUUAUACCACACUAGUGAUGGUAGAACAAUAAUAAGAAAUGUUAAUACUUAAGAAUGUUAACCUAAGCAAAAAUUGUAAACAAAGCAAAGAUUGCACUAUAUAGAUACUGCACUCAGAGCUGUAAGAAUAUGUUAAAAGUAUCUUAAGUAGUCGUAAACAAUGUAUACACAAUGUUCCGAACGAUGUUAUUAGUUUAAGCAACUGUUAAGCCGUAUAUAAUGUAACACAAUGAGCUUGUACACAUAGUUAAGCUAGACAUAAGUAACGUUCAGCCAAUUGCCAGACAAUGUUAAGAUAAUCAAUGAGGUAGAAAGGAAGAAAACGACUCAAAGAAGGAAAAGGAGCCCAAGAAGACUGCCAAGGAGUCCAAGAAAGAAACCCCCAAAG